Molecule: ribosomal RNA, 334 nt
Filed under: Stevenia sp. n. 17 AT-2015
Lineage: Eukaryota; Metazoa; Arthropoda; Insecta; Diptera; Rhinophoridae
Description: partial small subunit ribosomal RNA
Source: RNAcentral
AAAACUUAAAAAAAUUUGGCGGUAUUUUAGUCUAUUCAGAGGAACCUGUUUUAUAAUCGAUAAUCCACGAUGGACCUUACUUAAGUUUGUUAAUCAGUUUAUAUACCGUUGUUAUUAGAAUAUUUUAUAAGAAUGUUAAUUUUCAUAAUUUUUUAUAAAAAGUAUAUCAAAUCAAGGUGUAGCUUAUAUUUAAGUAUAAAUGGGUUACAAUAAAUUUAUUUAAGUGAAUAUAAAUUUGAAAUAUUUAUUGAAGAUGGAUUUGAUAGUAAAAUUAUAAAGAUAAAUAAUUUGAUUUUAGCUCUAAAAUAUGCACAAAUCGCCCGUCACUCUCUGA